UCAUUGCGAGCGAAGCGAAGCAAUCCAUUCUUGGGUCGCAACGCAUGGAUUGCUUCGUCGCUGGCGCUCCUCGCAAUGACGAAAUCGCGGUCCAAUCCGAUUUCAUCGCGCCCUAGAAAGCCCCCGGCGCGGCUCAAGUCAACCACUCGGAAUAUGGAGGAUUUAGGCCUAAAUCGCCGAAAUCACCGGCCGCGGGAGACCCGCUCGAUCUCGGCCUUGACGAUCCGCUCCACCAGAUUGGGCAGAUUGUCGUCCAGCCAGGAUUUCAGCAUCGGACGGAGCAUCUCCUUAACGAGAUCCUCAAGGGUCCGGGCAUUGUUGCUGAGAACGGUAUUCGCCAGCGUGUUGAACG
This 352-nucleotide unclassified non-coding RNA is filed under the name Hevea brasiliensis (rubber tree). Lineage: Eukaryota; Viridiplantae; Streptophyta; Magnoliopsida; Malpighiales; Euphorbiaceae. The record is from RNAcentral.